UACAGAGGGUGCAAGCGUUGUUCGGAAUUAUUGGGCGUAAAGCGCACGUAGGCGGACAUUUAAGUCAGGGGUGAAAUCCCGGGGCUCAACCCCGGAACGGCCUUUGAUACUGGGUGUCUUGAGUUCGGAAGAGGUGAGUGGAAUUGCGAGUGUAGAGGUGAAAUUCGUAGAUAUUCGCAGGAACACCAGUGGCGAAGGCGGCUUACUGGUCCUUACUGACGCUGAGGUGCGAAAGCGUGGGGAGCAAACAGGAUUAGAAACCCC
Molecule: ribosomal RNA, 264 nt
Filed under: uncultured bacterium
Lineage: Bacteria
Description: partial 16S ribosomal RNA
Rfam family: Bacterial small subunit ribosomal RNA
Source: RNAcentral